GACGAACGCUGGCGGCGUGCUUAACACAUGCAAGUCGAACGGAAAGGCCCUGCUUUUGUGGGGUGCUCGAGUGGCGAACGGGUGAGUAACACGUGAGUAACCUGCCCUGUACGUUGGGAUAACUGCAGGAAACUGGUGCUAAUACCUGAUAGGAGCGCCUGCUGCAUGGGGGGGGUUGGAAAGUUUCGGCGGUUGGGGAUGGACGCGCGGCUUAUCAGCUUGUGGGGGGGGUAGUGGCUUAGCAAGGCUUUGACGGGUAGCCGGCCUGAGAGGGUGACCGGCCACAUUGGGACUGAGAUACGGCCCAGCCUCCUACGGGAGGCAGCAGUGGAGAAUAUUGCACAAUGGGCGGAAGCGUGAUGCAGCAACGCCGCGUGCGGGAUGACGGCCUUCGUGUUGUAAACCGCUUUCGCCUGUGACGAAGCGUGAGUGACGGUAAUGGGUAAAGAAGCACCGGCUAACUACGUG
Molecule: ribosomal RNA, 468 nt
Filed under: uncultured bacterium
Lineage: Bacteria
Description: partial 16S ribosomal RNA
Rfam family: Bacterial small subunit ribosomal RNA
Source: RNAcentral